RNAcentral lists this long non-coding RNA (1991 nucleotides) under Homo sapiens (human). RNAcentral describes it as "HSALNT0261506". Lineage: Eukaryota; Metazoa; Chordata; Mammalia; Primates; Hominidae. The record is from RNAcentral.
GUGGGUGGGCUCGGCUGUGCUCCCGGGGCCUGGGACAUGCCGUCCUCGGCUCCUGCUGGGGGUUGGGAGGGGGAGAAGGUCCUCAGGGGCCCGGGAUCUAGAGGUCCAGCCUCCCAGCAGGCCUUUGGGGCAUCGCCAUUGAUUGAGCUGGGACUCGGAGCAGCCCAGGAAGACACUGGGCCCCUGACCCCGCUCCCUGGCAGUCUCCUGGCAGCACACGUCCCUCCAUCCCUUAUUCCUAUUCCUACGAAAAACGCUGUCUCUUCUGCUCCCCUAGCAACAGAAAACCACCCUCACCAGGUCUCUAAGUAAAAGGGUCCCUAUCAUGGUCACCUAGCAACAGAGGAACCUGCCUCCCCGUCCCUAGGUAACCAGGGCGCUCUGUGGUUACCUAGCAACAAAGCCCCCUCCCCACCGCACUAGGUAACAAAGUCUGUCCUCCGAGCACCUAGCAAUAGAGAAUCCUCCUCCCCUGUCUCUAGGUGAUAGGGUCCCCUCUGGUCUCCUAGCAACAGAAGACUCCCCUUCCCCGGUCAUGUAGCAGCGAGGCUCUCUGCUCUUGUCACCUGGCAACGGGGCCCCCUCCCCAGUCACUAAGCAACAGGAGUUCCUCUUCCUAUCACCCAGCAACCAGGCCCCCUCCCCGGACACCAAGGAAUGGAGCCCUUCGCCGACCCGCACCCCAGCCACGGCGCUCGCCCUUUGCCUGGCAACGCCCCUCACCCCGCCUGCCUCUCCGCUCCACCGAGCCAGGGGUUUCCGCAUCCCCUUCCUGGGCGGCGGCUCUGGGCUCCGAGUGCGGGGCGGGCAACACCGCGCUGACUGGGCAGGCGGGACGGACUACAGCUCCCGGUGAUCCCCGCGCGCCGGACUACGACUCCCGUGGGGCCCCGCGGGACUCCUGCUCCACACGGAACGCCCGGGCCGCGUGGCCCUGAAGUCGGCCGUCGGGCCUAGGAAAUGCCGCACUACAACUUCCGUCGGGCUCCGCGGCAGGUCCCGGAAGUGCGCCUCAGAGGCCCUUCUUUCGCAUACGGCCGCGCCCACUACUGCUCAGAGAUUCUAGGAAACUUAGUAGAAUGCCUGCUGAGCAGCCUCGUGGGGGAUGGUUGAGGCUGGGUUUGAAUCCUGGCUUUGCUGCUGACCAGCCUGAACUCCCUGGUGGCCUCGGGCAAGUGUCCUCACCUCUCUGAGCCCACUUUCCUCCCAGGUUAUUUUUUGAGAGCUGCUAUGUGUCAAGUGUCAUACUGGGCUCUGGGGAUCCAGCUGUGGACAAGACAGACAAAGCCCUGUCUUCCUAGAUCCUGGCCUCAGAGAAGAAGAGAGACACUAAACAAAACAAUUAUGCCAACAAUCAUUUAACCAGCAAAGGUGUACACAGAUCGUGGAGGCUGCCCUGGUUGCAGGGGGAGGCAGGCCUGGGGCCCCUCCAAGGCCUGAUUUGAAACACCCUAGACCAGAUCACCUCUGAAGUUGUGAGUGUCAUCACCCUCAUGGCCCUGACACAGAGUAGGAUGGGCAAGGUGGGGAUUGGUUCUUGACGCAGGUAAAUCCUCCUGCCCCCUCACCCUAACAUCUUUAGCCUGACGAAGAUGUUGACAUUUUGUCCUACAGUAGAGGACCUAGGCCUGGGGCCACCUCUGACAGCCACAUAGCUGCCCACACUUCCAAGUUCCCUGGAUCUUCAGCCCCCAUCUGCUGAGCCCACCUCCACCUAUGCUGGGCUCUGGGACAGAUCUCAAUGAUGCAGAUGUGAAUCCGGCAAAGGGACGUGGCCCCCAUCAAUGACUGCCUUCUAACCCCGAUGGGGACUUUCCUUUUAUCCUGCAACUUGGCCUGUGUAGGGGGACUUUCCACUUUGGUUGUGGUAGGUAAAUAUUACUAAAGCUGAAAAAAAUCCCACUGAGAUCUGUUGGGGUUUUUAAGAAAAUAAAUUGUGAAGAAAUUCCUUAUUAAAAAUGUAACUGUGGUAAGAAAACAAUUAAGUGAAC